This is a long non-coding RNA of Dermochelys coriacea (leatherback sea turtle), 165 nucleotides long. RefSeq lists it as uncharacterized. NCBI's taxonomy places the organism in Eukaryota, Metazoa, Chordata, Testudines, Dermochelyidae. The record is from RefSeq and is a predicted model, not a curated record. The transcript is spliced from 3 exons.
CUGUCUGCACUGUUAAGUCUCUGAGGGGUAGCCGUGUCAGGCUGUAUCCACAAAAACAAUGAGGAGUCCAGUAGCACCUCAAAGACUAACAGAUUUAUUUGGGCAUAAGCUGUCGUGAGUAAAAAUCCCACUUCUUCAGAUGCAUGGAGUGAAAAUUACAGUUAC